GACGAACGCUGGCGGCGUGCUUAACACAUGCAAGUCGAGCGGUAAGGCCCUUUCGGGGUACGACGAGCGGCGAACGGGUGAGUAACACGUGGGUGACCUGCCCUCAGCUCUGGGAUAAGCCUGGGAAACCGGGUCUAAUACCGGAUAUGACUCCAUGACGCAUGUUGUGGGGUGGAAAGCCUUGUGCGGCUGAGGAUGGGCCCGCGGCCUAUCAGCUUGUUGGUGGGGUGANGGGCCUACCAAGGCGACGACGGGUAGCCGGCCUGAGAGGGCGACCGGCCACACUGGGACUGAGACACGGCCCAGACUCCUACGGGAGGCAGCAGUGGGGAAUCUUGCGCAAUGGGCGAAAGCCUGACGCAGCGACGCCGCGUGAGGGAUGACGGCCUGG
Molecule: ribosomal RNA, 391 nt
Filed under: uncultured bacterium
Lineage: Bacteria
Description: bacterial SSU rRNA
Rfam family: Bacterial small subunit ribosomal RNA
Source: RNAcentral